RNAcentral lists this ribosomal RNA (253 nucleotides) under uncultured bacterium. RNAcentral describes it as "partial 16S ribosomal RNA". It matches the Rfam family "Bacterial small subunit ribosomal RNA", at positions 524 to 776 of the family's 1533-position model. The record is from RNAcentral.
UACGUAGGGUGCGAGCGUUAAUCGGAAUUACUGGGCGUAAAGCGUGCGCAGGCGGUUCGUUAAGUUCGAUGUGAAAGCCCCGGGCUCAACCUGGGAACUGCAUUGGAAACUGGCGAGCUUGAGUAUGGCAGAGGGGGGUGGAAUUCCGCGUGUAGCAGUGAAAUGCGUAGAGAUCGGGAGGAACACCAGUGGCGAAGGCGACCACCUGGACUGAUACUGACACUGAGGUGCGAAAGCGUGGGGAGCAAACAGG